This 253-nucleotide ribosomal RNA is filed under the name uncultured bacterium. Its description in RNAcentral is "partial 16S ribosomal RNA". It matches the Rfam family "Bacterial small subunit ribosomal RNA", at positions 524 to 776 of the family's 1533-position model. The record is from RNAcentral.
GACAGAGGGUGCAAACGUUGUUCGGAAUUACUGGGCGUAAAGCGCAUGUAGGCGGCCUAGCAGGUCGGAUGUGAAAUCCCUCGGCUCAACCAAGGAAGUGCAUUCGAAACCGCAAGGCUGGAGUCCCGGAGAGGGUGGUGGAAUUCUCGGUGUAGAGGUGAAAUUCGUAGAUAUCGAGAGGAACACCGGCGGCGAAGGCGGCCACCUGGACGAGGACUGACGCUGAGAUGCGAAAGCGUGGGGAGCAAACAGG